Molecule: ribosomal RNA, 561 nt
Filed under: uncultured bacterium
Lineage: Bacteria
Description: bacterial SSU rRNA
Rfam family: Bacterial small subunit ribosomal RNA
Source: RNAcentral
CACAAGUGUAACGGGACCUCCGGCGGAUCACCCAUGCCUCGUGUGUGUAGAAGGCCCUCGGGUUGUAAAGCACUUUCAUCGAGGAAGAACGCCUGGCGGUUAAUACCCGCCAGGAAAGACAUCACUCGCAGAAGAAGCACCGGCUAACUCCGUGGCAGCAGCCGCGGUAAUACGGAGGGUGCAAGCGUUAAUCGGAAUUACUGGGCGUAAAGUGCGCGUAGGUGGCUUGAUAAGCCGGUUGUGAAAGCCCCGGGCUCAACCUGGGAACGGCAUCCGGAACUGUCAGGCUAGAGUGCAGGAGAGGAAGGUAGAAUUCCCGGUGUAGGGUGAAAUGCGUAGAGAUCGGGAGGAAUACCAGUGGCGAAGGCGGCCUUCUGGACUGACUCUGACACUGAGGUGCGAAAGCGUGGUUAGCAAACAGGAUUAGAUACCCUGGUAGUCCCCGCCGUAAACGAUGUCGACCAGCCGUUGGCCCCUAGCGCACUUUGUGGCGAAUUAACGCCAUAAACCCCCCCCUGGGGAAUCGACCGCAAGGUUAAAACUCACAAGAAUUGGCCGGAC